This is a long non-coding RNA of Cydia pomonella (codling moth), 2240 nucleotides long. RefSeq lists it as uncharacterized. NCBI's taxonomy places the organism in Eukaryota, Metazoa, Arthropoda, Insecta, Lepidoptera, Tortricidae. The record is from RefSeq and is a predicted model, not a curated record. The transcript is spliced from 3 exons.
GGGCUAAGAUGGUUGGCUCUUUAUCAUUUGUCACCAUGCCUGUCACGUUCAAACAAGUAUGUACGUGUGAAAGUGACGGGCAUAGUGACAAGCUAUAAAAAUGGAACCAUGCUGCCACUGCAGUGCAUGACGUCGCUAACGGAAAAUGAUACUGAUGACACAAUAUAUAUUCUUAAAAAGUAAGGAUUUCUUGUCUUACCAAUUUUAUACCGAUUUUUGGACGUUAUAUAUCACAUAUUUCUUACUUCGCCACCUGGCAACACUGGCUGUAAAUGUCGUCCCUUUUUUUUAUAUAUGCAAUGUUUGAAAUUCCUGCCUUGAAACUCUUAAUUGAGGCGCCAUCGUUAUUUCAUUCAUUUCAUUCUUUGUCGUUUUGUGUUAGAUUACGCACGUAAAAUGCAAAGAGCAUAUAAUCACUACGUUGUAAAAUGUAUUCACGGCGCCACGGCCGAUUCGACUCCAUUUUGUUCGUUUCUGCCGUAUGGAAAACAUUUACCAGAUUAAGAUUGCAAUGACAUAGAUGAUUUGAGACAACUCGCCUGGCAUUGCUGCAAGUAAGAAUAAGAACAUAAUGGAUUACAGAUAAAAGUAAAACAGUGAGGAAGUCACUUAAUCGAAAAUGCAUUGAGGAAGUAAUUCAUUCCAAGGGUCCUAGGAAAUGUUAAACAGCUGCAGGUCCGAAAAAACUAGCCAGCUGAAGAAGUUAAAUAAUGAAGAAAAAAGAAGAACAUCAGAACGGUCUUGAAAAGACAACUCCAUCUUCCAUUGCUUCGGAAUCUGAAUAUCUUUGAUCAUUUUGUCAUGAAUACACACUACUGCCUCGGCUGCCUGCUUAAACUACAGUAGUGAAUCUACUCUAUUACUAUUAAAUGUGAACCCUCUGCAAUUUAUCUGCGCAAGUAAAUUAAGCAACUGCAUCUAAGAAGAUUUUGAAAACGUCAAAGCAGCAAAAUUAUGAAUGCCAGGUCUUUUAUCUUGAGAAAAACUUGGGAGUGUUGAAAGAGCUAUUUUGUCAGUGGUCAAAAUUUGAAUAUUGGAGGAAAAUUGGAAAAUGAUACAUAGAGAUGGGGAAAUGGAUUGUUCGGUCUGUAAAUUGCAUUAUAAAAAGCUGUUUUGUCAGCAAUCACUUGGUCAGAAAAGAAAAUUAAGGGAGAUGGGUUGGAUGCAGUCUUUGUUUUGGCAAAUUUGGUUAUCUUCAUCCUUAACCUGCUCAAUAUUCUCAGUUUUUGCCAUCGGAGACCACUUUUUACAAAUACCUUUUAUAAUACUCAUUACUCAUUAUUUUGUAAAGAUCUUCCAACUUUUGGAAAAGGGUGCAUUCUAUACCUGUCUGAGUACCAUGUGAACGUUGACAUCUGUCGUUGACGACUGUCUGAGUGGAACUUUGGAAACAGCUUGAGAGGUCCAUCUGGACGUCCAUUGACGCUGAUUGCGUGUGGUGCCGACAGUGCUUCUUGAGCAGCUAAAAUGGCAUCUUAAAAUGGACCGCUUUUUGCUUGACCCCUAUCCUGAAUUGUACCAUAGACUCUUCGUGGCUCUCCGAGUCCCUACUAUCGCUACUGCCGGUCUUGUUGUUGGGAUGCCGGCUCUUUCGAGGGUUCCGCUUCAGACUCUGAACCCUUCAUUACAUAUGGCUUUAUUGUUAUGGCCUUCUCUAAGAGUGAAAUCAGUAUUUUUUUUGUUGUUAGGGGUCUGAUGACCUGAGUUCCGUCGCUUGUUACGCCCGUUGGUGUUUAUUUGUUAUUGUUGAAAUCCUGCAAGAAAAAGUUGUUUUGUCAGUAGUCAAAAGAUCCAAUUUUGGCAUGAAAAAUAAAUACUGGGGUGUUGUUUUUAUUACAAUACGGGUGAGAUCUUGUUAAAAAGCUGUUCUGCUAGCAGUCAAUUUUCAGUAUUGAUAUGAUAAAUAUUAUUAUGGGGCAUUAUCGCAUUAUGUUAUACUUGUCAGACUAAUCAUUAAAAAAAAACACGUUAAAAAAAUCAAAAUCAUUAUGUUAAAUUUUUAAUUUUGAUUUGGACGAAAUAAUGACUGGGUAUUAUCACAAGAAGGGAAAUGGGUUUGUCUGUCUUUGUUAUCAAGAAAAAGCUGUUCUGUCAGCAGUCAACAUUCACUUUUGAUAUUAUACGAAUAAAAUGAGGCAAUAUCACACAGGGAGUUUUAUCAGGGAAUAGUAUGAGGGACAACACUUUUAUCACCAAUCAAACUUUUAUGACCAAAAAUACAAAUGCAUUCAUUGUUGAAA